GACGAACGCUGGCGGCGUGCCUAAUACAUGCAAGUUGAGCGCUGAAGGUUGGUACUUGUACCAACUGGAUGAGCAGCGAACGGGUGAGUAACGCGUGGGGAAUCUGCCUUUGAGCGGGGGACAACAUUUGGAAACGAAUGCUAAUACCGCAUAAAAACUUUAAACACAAGUUUUAAGUUUGAAAGAUGCAAUUGCAUCACCCAAAGAUGAUCCCGCGUUGUAUUAGCUAGUUGGUGAGGUAAAGGCUCACCAAGGCGAUGAUACAUAGCCGACCUGAGAGGGUGAUCGGCCAAAUUGGGAAUGAGACACGGCCCAAACUCCUACGGGAGGCAGCAGUAGGGAAUCUUCGGCAAUGGACGGAAGUCUGACCGAGCAACGCCGCGUGAGUGGAGAAGGUUUUCGGAUCGUAAAACUCUGUUGGUAGAGAAGAACGUUGGGGAGAGUGGAAAGCUCAUCAAGUGACGGUAACUACACAGAAAGGGACGGCUAACUACGUG
Molecule: ribosomal RNA, 497 nt
Filed under: uncultured bacterium
Lineage: Bacteria
Description: partial 16S ribosomal RNA
Rfam family: Bacterial small subunit ribosomal RNA
Source: RNAcentral